GGAACCGGGAGAGGUAAGAGGUACUACAGGGGUAGGAGUGAAAUCUUGUAAUCCCUGUGGGACCACCGUGUGGCGAAGGCGUCUUACCGAGAACGGGUUCGACGGGUGAGGGACGAAAGCUGGGGGCACGAACCGGAUUAGAUACCCGGGUAGGUCCCAGCCGUAAACGAUGCUCGCUAGGUGUCAGGCAUGGCGCGACCGUGUCUGGUGCCGCAGGGAAGCCGUGAAGCGAGCCACCUGGGAAGUACGGCCGCAAGGCUGAAACUUAAAGGAAUUGGCGGGGAGCACAACAACGGGUGGAGCCCUGCGGUUUAAUUGGACUCAACGCCGGACAACUCACCGGGGGCGACAGCAAUAUGUAGGCCAAGCUGAAGACUUUGCCUGAAUCGCUGAGGAGUGGUGCAUGG
This 407-nucleotide ribosomal RNA is filed under the name uncultured archaeon. RNAcentral's name for it is "bacterial SSU rRNA". It matches the Rfam family "Archaeal small subunit ribosomal RNA", at positions 595 to 997 of the family's 1478-position model. The record is from RNAcentral.